This 245-nucleotide ribosomal RNA is filed under the name uncultured bacterium. Its description in RNAcentral is "partial 16S ribosomal RNA". It matches the Rfam family "Bacterial small subunit ribosomal RNA", at positions 29 to 300 of the family's 1533-position model. The record is from RNAcentral.
AACGAACGCUGGCGGCAGGCUUAACACAUGCAAGUCGAACGGGUGCAGCAAUGCAUCAGUGGCAGACGGGUGAGUAACACGUGGGAACCUUCCUAGGGGUACGGAACAACUCAGGGAAACUUGAGCUAAUACCGUAUACGUCCGUAAGGAGAAAGAUUCAUCGCCCCUAGACGGCCCGCGUCGGAUUAGGUAGUUGGUGGGGUAACGGCCUACCAAGCCUACGAUCCGUAGCUGAUCNGAGAGGA